Cervus elaphus (red deer) is the source of this 293-nucleotide long non-coding RNA. RefSeq lists it as uncharacterized. The transcript has 3 exons. Lineage: Eukaryota; Metazoa; Chordata; Mammalia; Artiodactyla; Cervidae. The record is from RefSeq and is a predicted model, not a curated record.
CUAUGUCCACAUCACCACUGCUGCCUUGCGAACAGGUUCAUCGGUACUAUCUUUCUAGAUUCGAUAUAUAUGCGUUUAUAUACAGCAUUUUUCUCUUUCUGACUUAAUUCCCUCUGUACAAUAGGCUCUGUGUUCAUCCAUCUCAUUGGAAUUGAUUCAAAUGUGUCCCUUUAUAUGGCUGAGUAAUAUUCCAUUGUAUAUAUGUACCACAGCUUUUUACCCAUUCAUCUGUCAAUGGGUAUCUAGGUUGUUUCCAUGACCUAGCUAUCGUAAAUAGUGCUAUAUUGAAAAAU